RNAcentral lists this ribosomal RNA (496 nucleotides) under uncultured bacterium. RNAcentral's name for it is "partial 16S ribosomal RNA". It matches the Rfam family "Bacterial small subunit ribosomal RNA", at positions 30 to 523 of the family's 1533-position model. The record is from RNAcentral.
AUUGAACGCUGGCGGAAUGCUUUACACAUGCAAGUCGAACGGUAGAGGGGGCAACCCCUCGAGAGUGGCGAACGGGUGAGUAAUAUAUCGGAACGUGCCCAGUCGUGGGGGAUAACGUAGCGAAAGUUACGCUAAUACCGCAUACGGUCUAAGGAUGAAAGCGGGGGACCGUAAGGCCUCGCGCGAUUGGAGCGGCCGAUAUCAGAUUAGGUAGUUGGUGAGGUAAAGGCUCACCAAGCCAACGAUCUGUAGCUGGUCUGAGAGGACGACCAGGCACACUGGAACUGAGACACGGUCCAGACUCCUACGGGAGGCAGCAGUGGGGAAUUUUGGACAAUGGACGCAAGUCUGAUUCAGCCAUUCCGCGUGCAGGAUGGAGGCCCUCGGGUUGUAAACUGCUUUUGUACGGAACGAAAAGGUCUCUCCUAAUACGAGGGGCUCAUGACGGUACCGUAAGAAUAAGCACCGGCUAACUACGUGCCAGCAGCCGCGGUAA